RNAcentral lists this ribosomal RNA (253 nucleotides) under uncultured prokaryote. RNAcentral describes it as "partial 16S ribosomal RNA". It matches the Rfam family "Bacterial small subunit ribosomal RNA", at positions 525 to 777 of the family's 1533-position model. The record is from RNAcentral.
ACGUAGGGCGCAAGCGUUGUCCGGAAUUAUUGGGCGUAAAGAGCUCGUAGGCGGUUUGUCGCGUCGGUUGUGAAAGCCCACAGCUUAACUGUGGGUCUGCAUCCGAUACGGGCAGACUAGAGGCAGGUAGGGGAGCAUGGAAUUCCCGGUGUAGCGGUGAAAUGCGCAGAUAUCGGGAGGAACACCGGUGGCGAAGGCGGUGCUCUGGGCCUGUACUGACGCUGAGGAGCGAAAGCUAGGGGAGCGAACGGGA